Molecule: ribosomal RNA, 187 nt
Filed under: uncultured rumen bacterium
Lineage: Bacteria
Description: partial 16S ribosomal RNA
Rfam family: Bacterial small subunit ribosomal RNA
Source: RNAcentral
UACGGGAGGCAGCAGUGAGGAAUAUUGGUCAAUGGACGAGAGUCUGAACCAGCCAAGUAGCGUGCAGGAUGACGGCCCUAUGGGUUGUAAACUGCUUUUAUACAGGGAUAAAGUAGGGAACGUGUUCCCUUUUGCAGGUACNGUAUGAAUAAGGACCGGCUAAUUCCGUGCCAGCAGCCGCGGUAAU